AGUGGCGACCGGGUGAGUAAAAGGGACUAACCUACCUUCGAGUGGGGAAUAACCUCGGGAAACCGGGGCUAAUACCGCAUAAUGUCUUCGGACCAAAGGAGCAAUUCGCUGGAAGAGGGGGUCGCGGCCGAUUAGCUAGUUGGUGGGGUAACGGCCCACCAAGGCAAUGAUCGGUAGCCGGCCUGAGAGGGCGCACGGCCACACUGGAACUGAAACACGGUCCAGACUUCUACGGGAGGCAGCAGUGGGGAAUUUUGCGCAAUGGGGGAAACCCUGACGCAGCAACGCCGCGUGGAGGAUGAAGCCCCUUGGGGUGUAAACUCCUUUCGAUCGGGACGAUAAUGACGGUACCGGAUGAAGAAGCACCGGCUAACUCUGUGCCAGCAGCCGCGGUAAUACAGAGGGUGCAAGCGUUGUUCGGAAUUAUUGGGCGUAAAGGGUGCGUAGGCGGUGUGGUAAGUCUGUUGUGAAAUCUCCGGGCUCAACUCGGAGCCUGCAACGGA
This 503-nucleotide ribosomal RNA is filed under the name uncultured bacterium. RNAcentral's name for it is "bacterial SSU rRNA". It matches the Rfam family "Bacterial small subunit ribosomal RNA", at positions 94 to 630 of the family's 1533-position model. The record is from RNAcentral.